GCCUUAUUUUCUUGGCCGCAUCAGAUCAGAAGUCCAGCCCCUCUACUCCUUUUUCCUCUUUCCUUGUUCUUCUUUCUCUUUUCUUCCUUUGCUUCUUACAUGACAGCCCUCCCUCUCUCACCAAAACAAAAUAUCCCUCUCUAAGGAAGAAAUUAAAGGGUUAACACUAAAAUUUCAGCUUCAAAUUGUUGGGGGGUGUUACCAGUAUCCAAGUCUAAGCUCCUUUGACUGUAGGCUCUCAGUUCCUCUGCUUUCAGUUAGCAGGUUUUAUUUUGGAGCAGAGGGAGCCUUAGUCGAGUUUGGAAGGAGCUGGUUUUAGUUUUAUAUGUAUAGAUCUUAAAUUAGCAAUUUGAUGUUUAGCUUUGUAGUAUUGUGUAUUUUAGGAUCUAAUGAAAGUUGUGUACCUUAAAGUAUUAAGGAUGUAUUAUGUGAAAGUGUGGAAAUUAAAUGAUUGGUGGAUUAUGUUA
Long non-coding RNA from Quercus robur (English oak), 467 nucleotides. RefSeq lists it as uncharacterized. NCBI's taxonomy places the organism in Eukaryota, Viridiplantae, Streptophyta, Magnoliopsida, Fagales, Fagaceae. The transcript is spliced from 3 exons. The record is from RefSeq and is a predicted model, not a curated record.